GGAGAGCUGGCCGAGAGGUCGAAGGCAGCUGACUCGAAAUCAGCCGUGGGUGUAUGCUCACCGGGGGUUCGAAUCCCUCGCUCUCCGCCA
RNAcentral lists this transfer RNA (90 nucleotides) under Deltaproteobacteria bacterium ADurb.Bin058. RNAcentral describes it as "tRNA-Ser". It matches the Rfam family "tRNA". From Rfam's summary of the family: Transfer RNA (tRNA) molecules are approximately 80 nucleotides in length. Their secondary structure includes four short double-helical elements and three loops (D, anti-codon, and T loops). Further hydrogen bonds mediate the characteristic L-shaped molecular structure. tRNAs have two regions of fundamental functional importance: the anti-codon, which is responsible for specific mRNA codon recognition, and the 3' end, to which the tRNAs corresponding amino acid is attached (by aminoacyl-tRNA synthetases). tRNAs cope with the degeneracy of the genetic code in two manners: having more than one tRNA (with a specific anti-codon) for a particular amino acid; and 'wobble' base-pairing, i.e. permitting non-standard base-pairing at the 3rd anti-codon position. RNAcentral also lists the same sequence under 2 other names. The record is from RNAcentral. Lineage: Bacteria; Deltaproteobacteria.